GUCGGGGGGAAGAACUACAGGAUUCCCCUAGUAACUGCGAGUGAAGCGGGAAAAGCUCAAAUUUGAAAUCUGACGGUCCUUGGCCGUCCGAGUUGUAAUCUAGAGAAGUGUUACCCGCGCUGGACCGUGUACAAGUCUCCUGGAAUGGAGCGUCAUAGAGGGUGAGAAUCCCGUCUCUGACACGGACUACCAGGGCUUUGUGGUAUGCUCUCAAAGAGUCGAGUUGUUUGGGAAUGCAGCUCAAAAUGGGUGGUAAAUUCCAUCUAAAGCUAAAUAUUGGCGAGAGACCGAUAGCGAACAAGUACCGUGAGGGAAAGAUGAAAAGAACUUUGGAAAGAGAGUUAAACAGUACGUGAAAUUGCUGAAAGGGAAACGCUUGAAGUCAGUCGCGUUAGCCGGGGAUCAGCCUCGCAUUUGUGUGGUGCACUUUCCGGUUGACGGGUCAGCAUCAAUUUUGACUGCUGGAAAAAGUCCUGAGGAAUGUGGCAGCUCUGGCUGUGUUAUAGCCUCUGGUCGCAUACAGUGGUUGGGAUUGAGGAACUCAGCACGCCGCAAGGCCGGGUUUCGACCACGUCCGUGCUUAGGAUGCUGGCAUAAUGGCUUUAAGCGACCCGUCUUGAAACACGGACCAAGGAGUCUAACAUGCCUGCGAGUGUUUGGGUGGAAAACCCGAGCGCGUAAUGAGAGUGAAAGUUGAGAUCCCUGUCGUGGGGAGCAUCGACGCCCGGACCAGAACUUUUGGGACGGAUCCGCGGUAGAGCAUGUAUGUUGGGACCCGAAAGAUGGUGAACUAUGCCUGAAUAGGGUGAAGCCAGAGGAAACUCUGGUGGAGGCUCGUAGCGAUUCUGACGUGCAAAUCGAUCGUCAAAUUUGGGUAUAGGGGCGAGAGACUAAUCGACCAUCUAGUAGCUGGUUCUGCGAUUUUCUCUCAAAAGAAUAAAAACAACGGCUAAAUGAGAGGGGGUCCAUAUGAGUUUUUCGCGCCUCAUCACCCACAUUUGACGAUCGAUUUGCCGUCGAAAUGCCUAGAGCCUCCACCAGCAGUCUCUCUGGCUCACUAUUCAGCAUAGUCACUUUCGGUCAAUACGGUCUUUCAGCGGAGUGCUCCAAGAUUGGGUGCGGGUAAGUUCUCUAAAGGGAAACAACCAUCUA
RNAcentral lists this ribosomal RNA (1152 nucleotides) under Echinoderma asperum. RNAcentral's name for it is "partial large subunit ribosomal RNA". It matches the Rfam family "Eukaryotic large subunit ribosomal RNA", at positions 50 to 1095 of the family's 3401-position model. Lineage: Eukaryota; Fungi; Basidiomycota; Agaricomycetes; Agaricales; Agaricaceae. The record is from RNAcentral.